UCCUCGCACUCUGAGAGCGGCAGCGGCUUUCGAACACAAGUCAGUUGCCCACCGAAGGGGCGCGCGAUGAACCGCGAAAACGGUUCGCGCAAUCUCUCAGGUACCGAGGACAGAGGGGUCACG
RNAcentral lists this non-coding RNA (123 nucleotides) under unidentified. RNAcentral describes it as "Candidatus Burkholderia Glycine sequence". It matches the Rfam family "Glycine riboswitch aptamer". From Rfam's summary of the family: This family represents the bacterial glycine riboswitch. Glycine riboswitches usually consist of two metabolite-binding aptamers domains with similar structures in tandem. The record is from RNAcentral.